Non-coding RNA from Punica granatum (pomegranate), 98 nucleotides. NCBI's taxonomy places the organism in Eukaryota, Viridiplantae, Streptophyta, Magnoliopsida, Myrtales, Lythraceae. The record is from Rfam.
AUGAAAGUGAUGAUUAUUUCCCCAGAUGAUCGACGCUGAUUAUACUGUGCUAAAUCUUACGUUCCUCAUUAAGGAACCAAGCCAGUAGUCUGAUCCAU